UCUUACUGAGUACAUACAAUGUGUAAGUAGCAUGUUAAAUGCUACAAGAAAUAUAAAGAUGUUUGAAACAUGAUCCCUGUCUUCCAAGAGUCUUUUCAGUGUUUCUCAGCCUUCGCACUAUUGUCACUUUGAGCUGAGUAAUUCCUUAUUGCAAGGCUGUCCUGUGCAUUGUAGGAUUAUUAAUAGCAUCCCGGGCUUCUCCCUACAAGAUGUCAUUAGUCCCUUUUACCUCUCAAAAUUCCCUUUGUAGUUAUGACAACUAAAAACAAUUAUCUCCAAACACUGCCUAAUGUUCCCUAGAAACAAAAGCCCUCCCACUGGAGAUGAACAGCCUCUCGAAAAUAAUCAAGCCUGGAAAAGUGCCAAAUAGGCCAGGUCUCAACAGGCUGACAGGGUCACACAACCAAGCCAGUCAGUAAUACCAAGAAGGCAGAACUGAUCUCAGAGAUCUACAAGUGAGGAAUCCAAUGUUUCUAAUCUGCUUUUAUGGGUCCAUUUCUCUUCUCUACAAUCAACAAGGUGGCUCCUCCCUGAGCUCUCAGAUUUUUGUCAUCCUUCAAAUACAACAGGAUUAAGAAUUAUACUCUACCAAAGAAACAGAUUUUAAAAAAGAGGACACAUUCCUUGAAACCCUAUCUGCACCUCCUUGAUCUCAUUUCCCCAGGUAACUAAACAUGACACUGCUUAUAAACUUUAUAUACAUGAGUAAGUUACACAAAUAUGAUAGAUAUGGAACAGCAGGUGACUCUUAUGAAAUGAUAUUGGUGCCAUUAUUAAGAACUUAGGCUAAGUGGGUUGAAAGGUAUCCUUUUGUGUUUUUUUCCACAAUUUUAUGAUUCUUUGAUAUAUCCAUAGGAAUACAUGAAGCACUAGCUUUCUCAACUGCUAUGUAUUGUAAUAUAACAUUCUAUGAAUAUAAGAUAAACAAUUCAUUUUCCUGUUGGUGGACUUUUAGAUUGCUUCCAACUUUUCAUUACUAUAAACAAUAAUGGCUAUGAAAAUUUUUGUACAUGUAUGAGUUUCCUUGGGGAACAGUACUAUGUCACAGGUUAUGAUAAUCUUAAAUAUAUUGCUAGAGUAUUUGGUAUUCUGGCAAGCAGUGUUCAUAAUUAUCCAAAGUUUCCACAACAUUUGAAUUGUCAGAUUUAAACAUUUUAUUGUCAAUCUGAUGGAUGUAAAAUGGUAUUUGAUCUCUCUGAAAUUGCAGUAUGGUGCUGGGCAGCCAAGGAAAUGUGCUAUUCAGAAUACCCUCCCAUAAAGAUGUUGUGGAGGAAUGUAGUUAGGCACAUCAUUGCAGCAUUCAAUUCCCACCUAUGAUCAUCCUGGAGAACCUCCAGCCAAUUACUAACACAUCAGUGGUCAUUUCUAACACAGCUGGUCAUUUCUACCCAAUGUGGAACUCAUCUAACUGGCUUUUUUUUCUCUAGAGCUCCUCACUGAGUUGGCUGUGUAUUAUAGUCUGAAGCUCUCCCUGCCCAGUUUUGCUUCCUAGAUGUACAUCAUGGUCUGAAGGUUUUGCCUAUUUAAUCCUCGCUCCCUGCUUAUGUUUCACAGGAAUUACCACUAAUAUAACUCUUAAACUACUACCCAGUCUCAGAAACAACUUGAUGGAAAACUCAAAUUAACAUCAUGAUUGAUAACAUUAAAGUCCAAGCUUUUACUAGUACUAGUCAGGGUGCUCUGAUUUGUAUCCUGGUAAAUUUAUUAUCUCUGGAUAUUGGGAAGGUAUUCAAUUUCUCUAUACCUCAGUUUCUUCAUCUCUAAAAAUAAUAAUAGUAUCUACCUCACAGAUUUGAAAGAUUGAGUUAAUGCAAGCCCUUGGAAUACCUCUGGAACAUAAGGAUUCAAUGAAUACUAGUUAUUGUUUGCCUGGUAUGAUUUUGUUAUUUAUCACAAGAGUUCUAACUGACCUUGGUGAUGUAUUAAACGACUGAGUAAUAACCUGAUAAUAUUUAUUUGUCAUUUCCUUGUAGUUAGUGUGUAUUUAGGUGUUACCUAACCUUACUUAACAGCAGGUACUUUAAGAUAGUAUGUUCCCAAAUUAAACACUCAGUGCUGAUAAAUACUUCAAGUCUGAUUAUCUUUCAGUCACUGAUUAGCUUUCAUUCUAAAUUUUUUCAUCUUUUUGUUUUUGUUUUUGUUCCUUGAG
Molecule: non-coding RNA, 2149 nt
Organism: Heterocephalus glaber (naked mole-rat)
Lineage: Eukaryota; Metazoa; Chordata; Mammalia; Rodentia; Bathyergidae
Source: RefSeq, a predicted model, not a curated record